This 495-nucleotide ribosomal RNA is filed under the name uncultured bacterium. Its description in RNAcentral is "partial 16S ribosomal RNA". It matches the Rfam family "Bacterial small subunit ribosomal RNA", at positions 28 to 507 of the family's 1533-position model. The record is from RNAcentral.
GACGAACGCUGGCGGCGUGCCUAAUACAUGCAAGUAGAACGCUGAAGGAGGAGCUUGCUUCUCUGGAUGAGUUGCGAACGGGUGAGUAACGCGUAGGUAACCUGCCUGGUAGCGGGGGAUAACUAUUGGAAACGAUAGCUAAUACCGCAUAAUAUUGACUAUUGCAUGAUAGUCAGUUGAAAGGUGCAACUGCACCACUACCAGAUGGACCUGCGUUGUAUUAGCUAGUUGGUGGGGUAACGGCUCACCAAGGCGACGAUACAUAGCCGACCUGAGAGGGUGAUCGGCCACACUGGGACUGAGACACGGCCCAGACGCCUACGGGAGGCAGCAGUAGGGAAGCUUCGGCAAGGGACGGAAGUCUGACCGAGCAACGCCGCGUGAGGGAAGAAGGGUUUCGGAUCGUAAAGCUCUGUUGUAAGAGAAGAACGAGUGUGAGAGUGGAAAGCUCACACUGUGACGGUAUCUGACCAGAAAGGGACGGCUAACUACGUG